Molecule: RNA transcript, 2770 nt
Organism: Papaver somniferum (opium poppy)
Lineage: Eukaryota; Viridiplantae; Streptophyta; Magnoliopsida; Ranunculales; Papaveraceae
Gene name: GTP-binding protein OBGC, chloroplastic-like
Exons: 11
Source: RefSeq, a predicted model, not a curated record
GAGACCACCAAACUUUGUAGUUGUCAAUGGCCACUUCCACAUCCAUUUGUUUUUUCGCUGCUCAUCACCAUUUUCUUCAACCUGCCAUUGCUUCUCAAGAUCGAAACCAGCGAAGGAAGAGACCGCAGCAGCAGCAAAUCCCUAGAAGCAAAAGAAGAAAUAAUAAUAUCCCAAGCCCUAAAUUGAAAACAAAAAGCAAAUCUUUAGAAGAAGCAGUUCCCAGUUUAGCAAGAGGAGGUAAAUAUGGUUUAGAAGCUACAACUUACGCAAGACUUCCUCCUAAAGAUGACUUCAUUUUACCCUCUUUGGAUUCAUCAGCUUUCAAUGAAGUUAAACUUUCUGAACUCACUCAAAAAAUAUCUUCUUUGAAUUUUAAAGAUAAGUAUUCAGUUUUAGAUAAAGAUGACAGUGAUGAUGAUGAUGAUGUUGGGGAAGAAUUUGUUGAAGUUGAAAACAUUGGGUUCGAUAAUUACGGUGAACAAUUUGAAUUUCCAAGUCAAGAAGAAGAAGAAGAUUAUGUUGUUGGAAAUCAAUUUGUGGGACUUGGUAAUAGCAAUGUGGAGGAAUCUUCAGAUUUUGAUGAAUUUGGAGAGGAGGAAGAAGAUUAUAAGGAGAAAGGGGUGCCAGCGGUGAUGAGAUGUUUCGAUAGGGCGAAAAUAUAUGUCAAAGCAGGAGAUGGAGGGAAUGGAGUUGUUGCAUUUAGAAGAGAGAAAUUUGUACCAUAUGGAGGACCAUCAGGUGGAGAUGGAGGAAAGGGAGGUAAUGUUUAUGUUGAAGUUGAUGCUGAAAUGAAUUCAUUGUUACCAUUCCGAAAGAAUAUUCAUUUUAGAGCUGGAAGAGGAUCUCAUGGACAAGGAAGUAAACAAGCUGGGGCUAAAGGGGAGAGUAUUAUUGUCAAGGUUGCCCCUGGCACUGUUGUUAGGGAAGCAACUGGUAAAGGUGGGGAAGAGGGAAAAGUCCUAUUGGAGUUACUGCAUCCUGGCCAGAGAGCUUUAUUAUUACCUGGGGGAAGGGGUGGAAGAGGAAAUGCUUCGUUUAAAUCCGGAACCAACAAGGUACCAAAGAUAGCAGAGAAGGGAGAAGAAGGUAUUGACAUGUGGUUGGAUUUGGAGCUAAAGCUGGUUGCUGAUGUUGGAAUUGUGGGAGCCCCAAAUGCAGGAAAAAGCACUCUGCUUAGUGUUAUAAGUGCUGCUCAGCCACAAAUAGCUAAUUAUCCGUUCACGACUCUACUUCCCAAUUUGGGUGUGGUUUCAUUUGAUUACGAUGCCACCAUGGUCGUAGCAGAUCUACCUGGUUUACUUGAAGGUGCACACCGAGGGUUCGGUUUAGGUCACGAGUUUCUACGGCACACUGAACGAUGUUCUGUCCUGAUACAUGUUGUUGAUGGCUCGGGAGAGCAGCCGGAGUGUGAAUUCGAUGCAGUUCGUCUGGAGCUGGAGCUGUUCAAUCCAGAGCUUUCCACAAAGCCAUUUUUAGUUGCAUAUAACAAAAUGGAUCUUCCAGAGGCAUAUGAGAGAUGGAAUUCGUUUAAGGACAACCUUGAAGCUCGUGGUUUCCGAACAUUUUGUAUGAGUGCAGCGAAUAGACAUGGCACUGAUGAAGUAGUUACAGCUGCUUAUCAGCUUUUAAAGGAAAAAGUGGAAGUGAACAAAGAUCCUAAAGGUUGGGCAGAACCAGUAAAUAUGAAUUAUGUUGCUGAAAGGGUACGAAAGCAACGAAAUGCUUCUAUUAGUGACUUUGAAAUCUCUCAAGAUGGCGGUAGUUGGCAUGUGGUUGGAGCAGGGCUACAACGUUUUGUUCAAAUGACAAACUGGCAGUACUCAGAAUCCAUGAGAAGGUUCCAGCAUGUUUUAGACGCUUGUGGUGUCAACAAGUCCCUUAUCAAACUUGGGGUCAAGGAAGGUGACAAGGUGGUUGUUGGUGAGAUGGAGAUGAUAUGGCAUGAUUCUAACGACAACAUUGGCACGCCCAAUACGAAGAAAGGCUUAGCGGGUCAAAUCAAGUAUCAUCUGCCGAAAUAAUGCUCCUCCUGAUGUUCCUAUGCUUCUGGAUAUCGCUGCUAGAGUUCCCUAAGCAUCUGUACUACAAGAAGGAAGCAAGUUUGUAAAGAUGAUGUGCGAGCGGUCAAAUGUUUUUAUUUUGGCGUGAGUGCAACAGUAUAUUCAUUAACUUGACAAUGAGUUAUCGUACAUCAGCGUUGAUUCUGACCGCCUUGUUCUGAUAUGUGCUGUACCUAAGGACCCACAGUUUUAGCACUACGAUUACCAGAAAGUGGAACUGGUUUGGCCGUCUGACUGUCUUCCUUAAUUAUGGCUGCAGUUGCUUGAUUAGAAUUAGCAGGAUAAUGAGGAUCAUCAUUUGGGCAAGAUGCAGCUGUUGUUAUACACUUGCUAAGACGGUGAUGUCAAGGCGGGGAAUACAAAUAACUGGCGUGACGAAUUAAUUCUGUAGAUGUCGAUAUCUUCUUCAGUGGGUAUGAGAAACUAUUCUAUUCUUAUCAUCAGUAAGGCACAUCAUAACAUGCCAAACUUUAUCCCCCAUGGCGUGAUUCUCAGCUGAAAAAUAGCUUUAUGAAUUCACAUUAUACUGCUGGAGGCUCAUCAGUUUUUCUUCUUCGUCCAUUUAUGUAAUUUGAAAUGAAUAAUAUGCAAUUGAAGCACUGAAAACACUGGCCCACAAACCGUCCAUUUCUUUUUUUUUAACAUUACUAAGUUGCAUAACAGCAUCGGGACAUCUUUUUUCUGAAAAUGAAAAUAGAAAAUCAUUAAGC